UACAGAGGGGGCAAGCGUUAUUCGGAAUUAUUGGGCGUAAAGGGCGCGUAGGCGGCCUGGCAAGUGGAAGGUGAAAUCCCUCGGCUUAACCGAGGAACUGCCUCCCAAACUGCUUGACUUGAGACCAGGAGAGGUGAGUGGAAUUCCCAGUGUAGCGGUGAAAUGCGUAGAUAUUGGGAGGAACACCAGUGGCGAAGGCGGCUCACUGGACUGGUACUGACGCUGAGGCGCGAAAGCGUGGGGAGCAAACGGG
Molecule: ribosomal RNA, 253 nt
Filed under: uncultured bacterium
Lineage: Bacteria
Description: partial 16S ribosomal RNA
Rfam family: Bacterial small subunit ribosomal RNA
Source: RNAcentral